Molecule: long non-coding RNA, 847 nt
Organism: Phyllopteryx taeniolatus (common seadragon)
Lineage: Eukaryota; Metazoa; Chordata; Actinopteri; Syngnathiformes; Syngnathidae
Exons: 3
Source: RefSeq, a predicted model, not a curated record
UAAUAUAUUUCUAUUACAUUUAUUUUUUAUAUUUGUUUCUAUUUCAUUUUUUUAAUAAUUAAAAUAAUAAUUCUGUUAACUAACAUUAUUAGUAUUCUACAAAAUGAUUAUUAGACUAAUAAAUGCAAUGACGUAAAUAUCACAAAGCUUGUGUUUGUUUCUGCUAUGUUUAAAAGAUGCCAUUUCCUGUCUGUGUUUUCCAGGGGUGAGUAGUUUUACUCUAUUUUACUUUUACCGUCGUGUUUACAUCUGAGUUGAAAUCCCAUGCAGUUACUUAAAAAUGUAUAACGAUGGUGACAGUUUGACCCAGGAACAGAUAAUUGCCACCAUUUUGUGUCGGGAAAUGGUUCCUCGAGUCAGAUUGUUGAGGUGGUGUGCUCUUAAGAGAGGCUCAGGCAAGCAAGGGAGGCAAAGUCACCUUCAAUGGAGAUUCUGGAGCCUAUCCCAGCUGACUUUGGGCAUAGUCACCAGCCAAUUCCAGGAAAGUCAACUAUAUAGUUAAAAACUUAGGACUUAAGUGGACUGCUUAGCGUCACCAUGAGUCACCGGCAAGCUUACUGAGAACAACAUGGACCAGGAAAGUGAGUGAGUGUGGCCUGCUUCCAAUUAACCUCCCCCAGGGCCUCUUCCAAACCUCCUCGAACUAUCCCGUAAACACGUUGCUGGAUUUUGACUCAAACAUUUCUUCUUGUUAUCAUUGUAACUAUCAUUAUUAGCGUUAUUACUUAUUGUUGUGUUGCUAAUAAACACAGUUGUGUGUUUACUCUACAGAUCGUAUAUACAGAUUAAAACCACUUGUGAGAGCGACAUAAACAAAAAAAAGUCUAGACGUUUGAUUGUGUUCAUU